AAACAAGUGGGCUUCAGCCCGCGAGAGCGUGAGAGAAGGCGAGAGAGUCUGAGAAACCAAGAGAGUGAGAACGAAACCCUAAACCUCUUCUUCUUCAAUUUUUUUUUUCUCCUUUUUAGUUGGUAGCAUUGUGUCGUGAAAGCAACAGGUGCCAGUGUUCUUGUGAGAUGUUAAGUAUGAGUCAUUGAUUUAACAAGGUGGCUUGUAGAUUUUGAGUGUUGCUUUCACUUAAUACUAGUUGAAGGGAGCUGAAUAGUGAAUACAAGACAGAUGGUUCACAUGGCAGCAUCAUUAAGGGGGGUUCAUAAACUUGUAUCCUCCUCCCGGAUUGAAAAACUAGUUUCCCUUUCACGUUCUAAACAGCAUCUGCCACUGUGGGUUGAGAUUGUGCGCCAUUUUAGCUUUACCGAUGAUUUCAGUGGCAGAAGCAAAUAUGCUACUGGGGAACGUGAUGAUUUGCUUCGUCAACAGCCAGACUCAAGUUUUGAAGACAAUGGUACCAACCGAAACCAUGAGGCAUAUAAUGUUGAACAGGGAUUGUCAAAUUCAAUUCCAAGUAGACCUUUGAGAAGUAGGAAGCCAAUUAAUCAGCCUCCUCCACGUUUUCGAGAAUCAGGGAGAGGUUCCUUUCCUCCAAGAUUUGAUGAUAGCCAUGGUGCGCCUGGUGCUUUGGACAACUCAAAUAAAUCUUCCAAAAUUGAUCUUGCAUUUCAGGGCACGAAUGUGGCAGAAACAAAUAGGGACUUGGGGCAAUCAGGAGACAGUUUCCUUGACAAAUUCAAGCUUGCUUUUGAUGACAAAACAGUGAAUCAGUCAGAGGUUGCAGCAAGCACGCAAUCUGAAGAAGCAAAGUGGUCAGAUUCCAAUCCAAAGGCUCAAGAGCCUGUGCCACAAGAUGCCGAUGAGAUAUUCAAAAAGAUGAAGGAGACUGGCCUUAUCCCUAAUGCUGUGGCUAUGCUCGAUGGUCUAUGUAAAGAUGGUCUGGUUCAAGAAGCCUUGAAACUUUUUGGUUUGAUGCGGGAGAAGGGGACCAUUCCAGAGAUUGUCAUAUACACAGCAGUAGUGGAGGGAUACACAAAGGUCGACAAGGCUGAUGAUGCGAAAAGGAUUUUCAGGAAAAUGCAGAGUAGUGGCAUUUCUCCCAACGCUUUCAGUUAUACAGUCCUUAUACAAGGACUCUACAAGUGUAGAAGAUUACAGGAUGCUUUUGAAUUUUGUGUGGAGAUGUUAGAAGCGGGCCACUCACCAAAUGUGACAACUUUUGUGGGCCUGGUGGAUGGUUUCUGCAAGGAAAAAGGGGUUGAAGAAGCUAAGGAUGCUAUCAAAACAUUAACUAAAAAGGGUUUUGCUUUUGAUGAGAAAGCUGUUAGGCAGUUUUUGGACAAGAAAACACCAUUUUCACCCUCUGUUUGGGAGGCGAUUUUUGGGAAGAAAGCCCCGCAGAGACCAUUUUAACUAUUUUUCAUACCAUCAGUUAACUGAAUCUGUUACGGAGAUCUAACUGUUUCAUCAGACUAAGUAGGAUCUGACUCCUAUAUGGAAUGUAUACAAGAACCCUUAUCAGGAAGCAAGAAGUAGAAGCUGUGAUCUAAGGAGACAGACUUGACCGAUUUGUGAUGAAUCAAGAAACGCAAUAGUGUUUCCUAUCUGAUGCUGUGGCGAUCGUGGCGUAAUCAUUCAACGAGAAAAUAGGGAUCAGCUCCUGUUCUUGUGGCUCCUUGCUUUACUUUUAGAGUAUCUCGCUUGUGUUGUUUGUUGAACACUUUUGGUAGCUUUGGGGUAAGAUACACUGAUACAUCAUUCUUUCGAAUUCCAAAAUUUUGUGCUAAGUUCAUCAGUUCUGAACUGUAAAACACAAAGAGAGGCUCCUACUCUGUUUCUGAAUUCUUGUUGCGGAUCAAGGCUCUGUUUGAUUCCUUUGAUCUUCGUGGGUUUUCUUGUACUACCUCAUGGACACACUGAUGUGAUCUUGGAUGGAUUACUGAGGUAGUUUGAUGCUUGUUAUGACAUUCAUCAACAGUAGAAGUGAACCUCAUUAAUAGCAAUCUCUCAAAUUGAGUUUCUA
RNA transcript from Vigna radiata var. radiata (mung bean), 2065 nucleotides. It is a transcript of the gene named pentatricopeptide repeat-containing protein At4g38150, with no coding region annotated. The record is from RefSeq and is a predicted model, not a curated record. The transcript has 5 exons. NCBI's taxonomy places the organism in Eukaryota, Viridiplantae, Streptophyta, Magnoliopsida, Fabales, Fabaceae.